Molecule: ribosomal RNA, 2398 nt
Filed under: Salmonella enterica subsp. enterica serovar Enteritidis
Lineage: Bacteria; Pseudomonadati; Pseudomonadota; Gammaproteobacteria; Enterobacterales; Enterobacteriaceae
Description: bacterial LSU rRNA
Rfam family: Bacterial large subunit ribosomal RNA
Source: RNAcentral
ACGUACAAGCAGUGGGAGCACAGGUUUACCUGUGUGACUGCGUACCUUUUGUAUAAUGGGUCAGCGACUUAUAUUCUGUAGCAAGGUUAACCGAAUAGGGGAGCCGGAGGGAAACCGAGUCUUAAUUGGGCGUUAAGUUGCAGGGUAUAGACCCGAAACCCGGUGAUCUAGCCAUGGGCAGGUUGAAGGUUGGGUAACACUAACUGGAGGACCGAACCGACUAAUGUUGAAAAAUUAGCGGAUGACCUGUGGCUGGGGGUGAAAGGCCAAUCAAACCGGGAGAUAGCUGGUUCUCCCCGAAAGCUAUUUAGGUAGCGCCUCGUGAAUUCAUCUCCGGGGGUAGAGCACUGUUUCGGCUAGGGGGCCAUCCCGGCUUACCAACCCGAUGCAAACUGCGAAUACCGGAGAAUGUUAUCACGGGAGACACACGGCGGGUGCUAACGUCCGUCGUGAAGAGGGAAACAACCCAGACCGCCAGCUAAGGUCCCAAAGUCAUGGUUAAGUGGGAAACGAUGUGGGAAGGCCCAGACAGCCAGGAUGUUGGCUUAGAAGCAGCCAUCAUUUAAAGAAAGCGUAAUAGCUCACUGGUCGAGUCGGCCUGCGCGGAAGAUGUAACGGGGCUAAACCAUGCACCGAAGCUGCGGCAGCGACACUGUGUGUUGUUGGGUAGGGGAGCGUUCUGUAAGCCUGUGAAGGUGUGUCGUGAGGCAUGCUGGAGGUAUCAGAAGUGCGAAUGCUGACAUAAGUAACGAUAAAGCGGGUGAAAAGCCCGCUCGCCGGAAGACCAAGGGUUCCUGUCCAACGUUAAUCGGGGCAGGGUGAGUCGACCCCUAAGGCGAGGCCGAAAGGCGUAGUCGAUGGGAAACGGGUUAAUAUUCCCGUACUUGGUGUUACUGCGAAGGGGGGACGGAGAAGGCUAUGUUGGCCGGGCGACGGUUGUCCCGGUUUAAGCGUGUAGGUGUGUGUUCCAGGUAAAUCCGGUUCACUUUAACACUGAGGCGUGACGACGAGGCACUACGGUGCUGAAGCAACAAAUGCCCUGCUUCCAGGAAAAGCCUCUAAGCAUCAGGUAACAUCAAAUCGUACCCCAAACCGACACAGGUGGUCAGGUAGAGAAUACCAAGGCGCUUGAGAGAACUCGGGUGAAGGAACUAGGCAAAAUGGUGCCGUAACUUCGGGAGAAGGCACGCUGACACGUAGGUGAAGUGAUUUACUCAUGGAGCUGAAGUCAGUCGAAGAUACCAGCUGGCUGCAACUGUUUAUUAAAAACACAGCACUGUGCAAACACGAAAGUGGACGUAUACGGUGUGACGCCUGCCCGGUGCCGGAAGGUUAAUUGAUGGGGUCAGCGCAAGCGAAGCUCCUGAUCGAAGCCCCGGUAAACGGCGGCCGUAACUAUAACGGUCCUAAGGUAGCGAAAUUCCUUGUCGGGUAAGUUCCGACCUGCACGAAUGGCGUAAUGAUGGCCAGGCUGUCUCCACCCGAGACUCAGUGAAAUUGAACUCGCUGUGAAGAUGCAGUGUACCCGCGGCAAGACGGAAAGACCCCGUGAACCUUUACUAUAGCUUGACACUGAACAUUGAGCCUUGAUGUGUAGGAUAGGUGGGAGGCUUUGAAGUGUGGACGCCAGUCUGCAUGGAGCCGACCUUGAAAUACCACCCUUUAAUGUUUGAUGUUCUAACGUGGACCCGUUACCCGGGUUGCGGACAGUGUCUGGUGGGUAGUUUGACUGGGGCGGUCUCCUCCUAAAGAGUAACGGAGGAGCACGAAGGUUGGCUAAUCCUGGUCGGACAUCAGGAGGUUAGUGCAAUGGCAUAAGCCAGCUUGACUGCGAGCGUGACGGCGCGAGCAGGUGCGAAAGCAGGUCAUAGUGAUCCGGUGGUUCUGAAUGGAAGGGCCAUCGCUCAACGGAUAAAAGGUACUCCGGGGAUAACAGGCUGAUACCGCCCAAGAGUUCAUAUCGACGGCGGUGUUUGGCACCUCGAUGUCGGCUCAUCACAUCCUGGGGCUGAAGUAGGUCCCAAGGGUAUGGCUGUUCGCCAUUUAAAGUGGUACGCGAGCUGGGUUUAGAACGUCGUGAGACAGUUCGGUCCCUAUCUGCCGUGGGCGCUGGAGAACUGAGGGGGGCUGCUCCUAGUACGAGAGGACCGGAGUGGACGCAUCACUGGUGUUCGGGUUGUCAUGCCAAUGGCACUGCCCGGUAGCUAAAUGCGGAAGAGAUAAGUGCUGAAAGCAUCUAAGCACGAAACUUGCCCCGAGAUGAGUUCUCCCUGAGACUUAGAGUCUCCUGAAGGAACGUUGAAGACGACGACGUUGAUAGGCCGGGUGUGUAAGCGCAGCGAUGCGUUGAGCUAACCGGUACUAAUGAACCGUGAGGCUUAACCUUACAACGCCGAAG